CAGGACGAACGCGGGCGGCGUGCCUAAUACAUGCAAGUCGAGCGGACGGACGGGAGCUUGCUCCCUUAGGUCAGCGGCGGACGGGUGAGUAACACGUGGGUAACCUGCCUGUAAGACUGGGAUAACUCCGGGAAACCGGGGCUAAUACCGGAUGCUUGAUUGAACCGCAUGGUUCAAUCAUAAAAGGUGGCUUUUAGCUACCACUUACAGAUGGACCCGCGGCGCAUUAGCUAGUUGGUGAGGUAACGGCUCACCAAGGCGACGAUGCGUAGCCGACCUGAGAGGGUGAUCGGCCACACUGGGACUGAGACACGGCCCAGACUCCUACGGGAGGCAGCAGUAGGGAAUCUUCCGCAAUGGACGAAAGUCUGACGGAGCAACGCCGCGUGAGUGAUGAAGGUUUUCGGAUCGUAAAACUCUGUUGUUAGGGAAGAACAAGUACCGUUCGAAUAGGGCGGUACCUUGACGGUACCUAACCAGAAAGCCACGGCUAACUACGUGCCAGCAGCCGCGGUAAUACGUAGGUGGCAAGCGUUGUCCGGAAUUAUUGGGCGUAAAGCGCGCGCAGGCGGUUUCUUAAGUCUGAUGUGAAAGCCCCCGGCUCAACCGGGGAGGGUCAUUGGAAACUGGGGAACUUGAGUGCAGAAGAGGAGAGUGGAAUUCCACGUGUAGCGGUGAAAUGCGUAGAGAUGUGGAGGAACACCAGUGGCGAAGGCGACUCUCUGGUCUGUAACUGACGCUGAGGCGCGAAAGCGUGGGGAGCGAACAGGAUUAGAUACCCUGGUAGUCCACGCCGUAAACGAUGAGUGCUAAGUGUUAGAGGGUUUCCGCCCUUUAGUGCUGCAGCAAACGCAUUAAGCACUCCGCCUGGGGAGUACGGUCGCAAGACUGAAACUCAAAGGAAUUGACGGGGGCCCGCACAAGCGGUGGAGCAUGUGGUUUAAUUCGAAGCAACGCGAAGAACCUUACCAGGUCUUGACAUCCUCUGACAACCCUAGAGAUAGGGCUUCCCCUUCGGGGGCAGAGUGACAGGUGGUGCAUGGUUGUCGUCAGCUCGUGUCGUGAGAUGUUGGGUUAAGUCCCGCAACGAGCGCAACCCUUGAUCUUAGUUGCCAGCAUUCAGUUGGGCACUCUAAGGUGACUGCCGGUGACAAACCGGAGGAAGGUGGGGAUGACGUCAAAUCAUCAUGCCCCUUAUGACCUGGGCUACACACGUGCUACAAUGGGCAGAACAAAGGGCAGCGAAGCCGCGAGGCUAAGCCAAUCCCACAAAUCUGUUCUCAGUUCGGAUCGCAGUCUGCAACUCGACUGCGUGAAGCUGGAAUCGCUAGUAAUCGCGGAUCAGCAUGCCGCGGGUGAAUACGUUCCCCGGGCCUUGUACACACCGCCCGUCACACCACGAGAGUUUGUAACACCCGAAGUCGGUGAGGUAACCUUUUGGAGCCAGCC
RNAcentral lists this ribosomal RNA (1449 nucleotides) under Bacillus licheniformis. Its description in RNAcentral is "bacterial SSU rRNA". It matches the Rfam family "Bacterial small subunit ribosomal RNA". Lineage: Bacteria; Bacillati; Bacillota; Bacilli; Caryophanales; Bacillaceae. The record is from RNAcentral.